AGCAGCCGCGGUAAUUCCAGCUCCAAUAGCGUAUAUUAAAGUUUUUGCAGUUAAAAAGCUCGAAGUUGAAUUUCGGGGUUAGUAGGUUGGUCAUGCCUCUGGUAUGUACUGGUCUCACUGAUUCCUCCUUCCUGAUGAGCCGUAAUGCCAUUAAUUUGGUGUUGCGGGGAAUUUGGACUGUUACUUUGAAAAAAUUAGAGUGUUUAAAGCAAGCUAAUGCUUGAAUACAUUAGCAUGGAAUAAUGAAAUAGGACGUUCGAUCCUAUUUUGUUGGUUUCUAGGAUUGACGGAUUGAUUAAUAGGGAUAGUUGGGGGCAUUACUAUUCGAUUGUCAGAGGUGAAAUUCUUGGAUUUAUUGAAGACUAACUACUGCGAAAGCAUUUGCCAAGGAUGUUUUCAUUA
Molecule: ribosomal RNA, 402 nt
Filed under: uncultured Glomus
Lineage: Eukaryota; Fungi; Glomeromycota; Glomeromycetes; Glomerales; Glomeraceae
Description: SSU rRNA
Rfam family: Eukaryotic small subunit ribosomal RNA
Source: RNAcentral